UAAUACGGAGGGUGCAAGCGUUAUCCGGAUUCACUGGGUUUAAAGGGUGCGUAGGUGGGCAAGUAAGUCAGUGGUGAAAUCUCCGGGCUUAACCCGGAAACUGCCAUUGAUACUAUUUGUCUUGAAUACUGUGGAGGUCAGCGGAAUAUGUCAUGUAGCGGUGAAAUGCUUAGAUAUGACAUAGAACACCAGUUGCGAAGGCAGCUGGCUACACAAAUAUUGACACUGAGGCACGAAAGCGUGGGGAUCAAACAGGAUUAGAUACCCUGGUAGUCCACGCCCUAAACUAUGGAUACUCGACAUUUGCGAUAAACUGCAAGUGUCUGAGCGAAAGCAUUAAGUAUCCCACCUGGGAAGUACGAUCGCAAGAUU
This 372-nucleotide ribosomal RNA is filed under the name uncultured bacterium. RNAcentral's name for it is "bacterial SSU rRNA". It matches the Rfam family "Bacterial small subunit ribosomal RNA", at positions 521 to 895 of the family's 1533-position model. The record is from RNAcentral.